Molecule: ribosomal RNA, 562 nt
Filed under: Salmonella enterica
Lineage: Bacteria; Pseudomonadati; Pseudomonadota; Gammaproteobacteria; Enterobacterales; Enterobacteriaceae
Description: bacterial SSU rRNA
Rfam family: Bacterial small subunit ribosomal RNA
Source: RNAcentral
CGCGAAGAACCUUACCUGGUCUUGACAUCCACAGAAGAAUCCAGAGAUGGAUUUGUGCCUUCGGGAACUGUGAGACAGGUGCUGCAUGGCUGUCGUCAGCUCGUGUUGUGAAAUGUUGGGUUAAGUCCCGCAACGAGCGCAACCCUUAUCCUUUGUUGCCAGCGAUUAGGUCGGGAACUCAAAGGAGACUGCCAGUGAUAAACUGGAGGAAGGUGGGGAUGACGUCAAGUCAUCAUGGCCCUUACGACCAGGGCUACACACGUGCUACAAUGGCGCAUACAAAGAGAAGCGACCUCGCGAGAGCAAGCGGACCUCAUAAAGUGCGUCGUAGUCCGGAUUGGAGUCUGCAACUCGACUCCAUGAAGUCGGAAUCGCUAGUAAUCGUGGAUCAGAAUGCCACGGUGAAUACGUUCCCGGGCCUUGUACACACCGCCCGUCACACCAUGGGAGUGGGUUGCAAAAGAAGUAGGUAGCUUAACCUUCGGGAGGGCGCUUACCACUUUGUGAUUCAUGACUGGGGUGAAGUCGUAACAAGGUAACCGUAGGGGAACCUGCGGUUGGA